This 930-nucleotide ribosomal RNA is filed under the name uncultured Bacillota bacterium. RNAcentral's name for it is "bacterial SSU rRNA". It matches the Rfam family "Bacterial small subunit ribosomal RNA", at positions 1 to 916 of the family's 1533-position model. The record is from RNAcentral. Lineage: Bacteria; Bacillati; Bacillota.
GGAUCCAGACUUUGAUCAUGGCUCAGGAUGAACGCUGGCGGCGCAUUUAAGACAUGCAAGUCGAACGAAAAUUUACGCUUAAAGAGUUGAUUAGUUUACUAAGAGAUGAUUUAUUGUAAAUUUUAGUGGCGGACUGGUGAGUAAUACAUAGGUAAUCUGCCUUUUAGAGGGGAAUAACUAGGAGAAAUCCUAGCUAAUACCGCGUAAGACCACACUUAGGCAUCUAAGAGAGGUCAAAGGAGUAAUCCGCUAAAAGAUGAGCCUGUGGCUGAUUAGUUAGUUGGUGGGGUAAGAGCCUACCAAGACGAUGAUCAGUAGCCGAGCUGAGAGGCUGGCCGGCCACAUUGGGACUGAGAUACGGCCCAGACUCCUACGGGAGGCAGCAGUUGGGAAUAUUGGACAAUGGAGGAAACUCUGAUCCAGUGACGCCGCGUGAAGGAAGAAGGUCUUCGGAUUGUAAACUUAUUUUAUCAGGGAAGAAGAAAGUGACAGUACCUGAAGAAAAAGGACCGGCAAACUACGUGCCAGCAGCCGCGGUAAUACGUAGGGUCCAAGCGUUAUCCGGAUUUACUGGGUGUAAAGGGCGAGUAGACGGCGCUGUAAGUCAGCUGUGAAAACUUAGGGCUCAACCUUAAGCCUGCAGCUGAAACUGUAGUGCUAGAGUGCAGGAGAGGUAAGCGGAAUUCCUAGUGUAGCGGUGAAAUGCGUAGAUAUUAGGAGGAACACCAGUGGCGAAGGCGGCUUACUGGACUGUAACUGACGUUGAGGCGCGAAAGUGUGGGGAGCAAACAGGAUUAGAUACCCUGGUAGUCCAUACCGUAAACGAUGGAUACUAGGUGUAGGCGAGAUAUCGUCUGUGCCGGCGCAAACGCAAUAAGUAUCCCACCUGGGGAGUACGGCCGCAAGGUUGCAACUCAAAUGAAUUGACGG